Centropristis striata (black sea bass) is the source of this 1670-nucleotide long non-coding RNA. RefSeq lists it as uncharacterized. The transcript is spliced from 3 exons. The record is from RefSeq and is a predicted model, not a curated record. Lineage: Eukaryota; Metazoa; Chordata; Actinopteri; Perciformes; Serranidae.
CGGUCCAUCUGACGAUCCAUCUGACGAUCCAUCUGACGAUCCAUCUGACGAUCCAUCUGAGUGCGUCUUUGAUGAAGAAGAAGAAGACAGUGAGGAGAUGGAGGAUGACUGUGACUGUGUCUGCUGUGAUUGAGGGAAUGCUGAAGCAGCUCCAGCAGCAGCUGGAGGACCAGGCGCUGGAUGAUGACAUCACACUGAGCUGGAUGAUGACAUCAUGCCUCAGCGUCCUCGUGUGAUGUGUGAGAAUUCUGCCCUACAAAGCCUCGAACUGCACCAACUACAGUUUGGCUCUAAAUUGAGUUUUAACCAAAAAUUAACUCCUUUGUGUCUGUUUUAUCUUGUGACAACGUUUUAGAUUUCAAUUUUGCUUUAUGUCAGAUAAAUAAUGACUCUAGUAAUAAAAAAAACCUCCAAAAUCCAACUCAAAACCAAAGCAGACUGCAGUAAGUGUCGUCUUGUAUUUCUUCAUUGUGUUGAACAGUGAAGACAAGAAUAAUAGAAAUUAUACGUUUAUUUAAUAGGGAAAUUAUUAUCUAGAUAGUGAUGAAGUAAAAAAGUGAGAUACAAUUAUAUUAAGACUAAAAUAUAACAUUAGUUUAUAAUAUUAAGUCUAAAAUAAAAACAUUUUGAACAAAGUUGAUAAACACUUUUAAAUUCACUUCUAACAAAAUCAAUUUGAAAAUGUUUAUUCACUGAAAACUAAAUAUAAAAGGUGAAAGAAGACAACAACAUUAUAGUUACACUGUAAAAAAAUAUGUUUAAUUCACGGUAAAAUUCUUCUUCACCAUAAAAAAUACAGUGAGCGUAUGUAAAUGUAGAUAUCAGCAAAAACUGUAAUUUUUGAUGAAUAAUCCCAUUACUUUUAGGAUAAUUAAUUGUGUCAUUGUGGUAUUUCUCCAUUAACUUUACAUGACAAUUUUAUAUUUUUACAGCAAAACUGUGUUUUCUACAGUUUAUGGCAGUAGAAUUUAAAGUUUUAUACUAUUCUUUGAUUUACAGUAAUUAAAAGUAUCUACUAAUGUGAUGUACAAUGUUUAAUUUUACGACCUAUUUCUGAUGCAAUUUGACAGUUUUACUGUAAUUUCUACAAGCAUUUUUUACAGUGUACUCCACUCUGUUUAUCAUCACUAUUAGGAUCUUUUACAGCAAAACCAGAGUGCAGUAGCUACAUUUUUAGUGUCAAAGGUCAAAUAACUCGUCAUGAUUUUUUUGCAUAAAAAUGACAUCAUCAAUACAUGUAGAAAUAAGAGUCAUAUCACUGACCUACAUAUAACACAUUUGGCUGGACAGUUAAAAAACUUUAAAAAACUUUAAAUCAGUUUUUCUCAGUUUAACCCUUUGUAACUAGGCUCUGUAGGGCAGAAUAGAGCUGCAACAAUUAGCAGAUUAAUCGACUCGUUGCAGCUGUUUUUAUAAUCAAAUCAUCAUUUUAGUCAUUUUACAAGCUCAAAUGUCAAAUAUCUGCUGGUUCCAGCUUCUCCUAUUGAAAGAUUUAAUGUUUUUAUUGGUCAUAUAUGGUCAUAAACUUAUAUUUACUUAUAUUUAAACAUAUUAAGACUGUUGGUUUAUUAAGUAUGAAUUUAUGUGUUUGGGCUGUGGGGAAUUAUAACAGACAAUGUUUUAUUAUUUUUCACAUUUUAUAGGUAAGAUAAUAUAAAAUAUAAAUUAGA